This 435-nucleotide ribosomal RNA is filed under the name uncultured bacterium. Its description in RNAcentral is "bacterial SSU rRNA". It matches the Rfam family "Bacterial small subunit ribosomal RNA", at positions 43 to 524 of the family's 1533-position model. The record is from RNAcentral.
CAGGCCUAACACAUGCAAGUCGAACGAGACCUUCGGGUCUAGUGGCGCACGGGUGCGUAACGCGUGGGAAUCUGCCCUUGGGUUCGGAAUAACAGUUGGAAACGACUGCUAAUACCGGAUGAUGACGUAAGUCCAAAGAUUUAUCGCCCAAGGAUGAGCCCGCGUAGGAUUAGCUAGUUGGUGUGGUAAAGGCGCACCAAGGCGACGAUCCUUAGCUGGUCUGAGAGGAUGAUCAGCCACACUGGGACUGAGACACGGCCCAGACUCCUACGGGAGGCAGCAGUGGGGAAUAUUGGACAAUGGGCGAAAGCCUGAUCCAGCAAUGCCGCGUGAGUGAUGAAGGCCUUAGGGUUGUAAAGCUCUUUUACCCGGGAUGAUAAUGACAGUACCGGGAGAAUAAGCUCCGGCUAACUCCGUGCCAGCAGCCGCGGUAAU